Molecule: ribosomal RNA, 465 nt
Filed under: uncultured bacterium
Lineage: Bacteria
Description: partial 16S ribosomal RNA
Rfam family: Bacterial small subunit ribosomal RNA
Source: RNAcentral
GACGAACGCUGGCGGCGCGCCUAACACAUGCAAGUCGAACGAUCGAGAGAGAGCUUGCUUUCUCGAGCGAGUGGCGAACGGGUGAGUAACGCGUGAGGAACCUGCCUCAAAGAGGGGGACAACAGUUGGAAACGACUGCUAAUACCGCAUAAGCCCACGACCCGGCAUCGGGUAGAGGGAAAAGGAGCAAUCCGCUUUGAGAUGGCCUCGCGUCCGAUUAGCUAGUUGGUGAGGUAACGGCCACCAAGGCGACGAUCGGUAGCCGGACUGAGAGGUUGAACGGACACAUUGGGACUGAGACACGGACGAGAAUACUACGGGAGGGAGCAGUGGGGAAUAUUGCAAAAUGGGGGAAAGCAUGAUGAAGCGACGAGGCGUGGAGGAAGAAGGUAGUCGGAUAGUAAACUCCUGUUGUUGAGGAAGAUAAUGACGGUAAUAAACAAGGAAGUGACGGCUAACUACGUG